RNAcentral lists this ribosomal RNA (460 nucleotides) under uncultured bacterium. Its description in RNAcentral is "partial 16S ribosomal RNA". It matches the Rfam family "Bacterial small subunit ribosomal RNA", at positions 338 to 795 of the family's 1533-position model. The record is from RNAcentral.
CCUACGGGUGGCAGCAGUGAGGAAUAUUGGUCAAUGGACGAGAGUCUGAACCAGCCAAGUAGCGUGAAGGAUGACUGCCCUAUGGGUUGUAAACUUCUUUUAUAUGGGAAUAAAAUGUUCCACGUGUGGGAUUUUGUAUGUACCAUAUGAAUAAGGAUCGGCUAACUCCGUGCCAGCAGCCGCGGUAAUACGGAGGAUCCGAGCGUUAUCCGGAUUUAUUGGGUUUAAAGGGAGCGUAGGUGGAUUGUUAAGUCAGUUGUGAAAGUUUGGGGCUCAACCGUAAAAUUGCAGUUGAAACUGGCAGUCUUGAGUACAGUAGAGGUGGGCAGAAUUCGUGGUGUAGCGGUGAAAUGCUUAGAUAUCACGAAGAACUCCGAUUGCGAAGGCAGUUCACUGGACUGCAACUGACACUGAGGCUCGAAAGUGUGGGUAUCAAACAGGAUUAGAUACCCCAGUAGUC